GGAAGGUGGGGAUGACGUCAAGUCCUCAUGGCCUUUAUGCCCAGGGCUACACACGUGCUACAAUGGGCGGUACAAAGAGCAGCUAACGUCGCGAGAGUAUGACAAAUCUCAAAAAACCGUCCUCAGUUCGGAUUGGAGUCUGCAACUCGACUCCAUGAAGUCGGAAUCGCUAGUAAUCGCGGAUCAGCAUGCCGCGGUGAAUUACCGGUUCCCGGGCCUU
This 220-nucleotide ribosomal RNA is filed under the name uncultured Syntrophus sp. Its description in RNAcentral is "partial 16S ribosomal RNA". It matches the Rfam family "Bacterial small subunit ribosomal RNA", at positions 1168 to 1382 of the family's 1533-position model. The record is from RNAcentral. Lineage: Bacteria; Pseudomonadati; Thermodesulfobacteriota; Syntrophia; Syntrophales; Syntrophaceae.